This 71-nucleotide transfer RNA is filed under the name Phrynosoma platyrhinos (Desert horned lizard). RNAcentral's name for it is "tRNA-OTHER". The record is from RNAcentral. Lineage: Eukaryota; Metazoa; Chordata; Lepidosauria; Squamata; Phrynosomatidae.
GCCAGUGUGGUGUAGUGGUUUGAGUGUUGGACUAUGACUCUGGAGACCAGGGUUCGAUUCCCUGUCUGCCA